Long non-coding RNA from Astatotilapia calliptera (eastern happy), 1046 nucleotides. The record is from Ensembl. Lineage: Eukaryota; Metazoa; Chordata; Actinopteri; Cichliformes; Cichlidae.
CACAGUUUCUUUGCAAUUUUAAUUUGCAUCUCAUUUCAAAACAUUUUCAGGGCUUUCAUGGUCACGUUUCCACUAUUGGAGACAUUUAGCAUGCUCAUGUGCUUAUUUUGCAUCUGUGUGGUGAUUUUAUAGGUUUUUGUUUUCUAUGGAAGGUCAUUUUUGUGUCUUUAUUGUUCUUCUCUCCUCACUGAACUGGUAGAAUUGUGUCUCAACGUACUUUUUAAGGUAAUCAAAAAUUUGUUAAUAAUAAGUUUGUUAAUAAUUUUGUGUCAUUUUGAGUUUGUUUUGUGUCUUUGUUUGUUUUUGCAUAAAUAAGAGCAAAACAUUGCAGAUUCAUUGGAAAAAAGGAGCGAAUCAUUAUUUCAGACAUUCAUUCUCCACACCACUCUCCACCACAAAAAACAAACAAACAGAAAUUUGCACUUUUAUCCUAAAGCAUUGCCAUUGUGGCUUCAGAGGCUGUUCUCAAUUGGCUCAUGCAAAAGAGUUUAAUGAACCACAAAUGUAGGAGCCCUUCUCACUCUGGGCCAUAAACUGAAAACAAUCGCUAAUCCAACAAAUGUAUGAACUGCUGAGAGAAAGAGUCCCCGUCAUUACAGAAACAAAGAGCCAAACAUAAUCUGUAUUUAAACAGUAAAAGUGUUUCCAUAGCAGGUUUAUGAUAUUAAGCACCACUGGAUUCCUGCCAAAUCUUAGUUUAGCUCAUUGCAUCACCACCUAAGCUAACUGUAAACAGGCCAUUUGGUUUGUAAUUUUUGGCCAAUAAUUAACAGAAAUAAGCAGUCACGUAAUUUUAAGACCAAUGGAACGAGGACAAAUCCAGUCUUGGUUUUGAACUCAGGAGGAAAUUUGAGAGCUUUGUGCUUUUGAAAUGUCAGUGGACUCAUUUGCGGAAACGUUGCUGGGUUUUGGCCCUGCUGAGGACACAAUGAAAUGAAACCUAUGGGAAACAUUUUUUAGAUAUUACUCCUCAGUAAAGACCUUCCACCAAGCCAGCAGCAGCAGGCUUGACAAUCUGAGUUGUUAAGGUGUUAAUCUGAGUUGAC